AGACGUCUACAUUAGACUACCCCUGUAGUCCCAGCCCUAAACGAUGCGCGUUAGGUGUAUCGGUGACCACGAGUCACCGAGGUGCCGAAAGGGAAACCGUGAAACGUGCCGCCUGGGAAGUACGGUCGCAAGGCUGAAAACUUAAAGGAAUUGGCGGGGGAGCACCACAACGGGUGGAGCCUGCGGUUUAAUUGGACUCAACGCCGGGAAGCUCACCGGAUAAGACAGCGGAAUGAUUGCCGGGCUGAAGACCCUGCAUGACCAGCUG
Molecule: ribosomal RNA, 268 nt
Filed under: uncultured archaeon
Lineage: Archaea
Description: partial 16S ribosomal RNA
Rfam family: Archaeal small subunit ribosomal RNA
Source: RNAcentral